Molecule: ribosomal RNA, 301 nt
Filed under: uncultured bacterium
Lineage: Bacteria
Description: partial 16S ribosomal RNA
Rfam family: Bacterial small subunit ribosomal RNA
Source: RNAcentral
CAGUAGCCGCGGUAAUACGAAGGGUGCAAGCGUUACUCGGAAUUACUGGGCGUAAAGCGUGCGUAGGCGGUUUGUUAAGUCUGCUGUGAAAUCCCCGGGCUCAACCUGGGAAUGGCAGUGGAUACUGGCAAGCUAGAGUGUGUCAGAGGAUGGUGGAAUUCCCGGUGUAGCGGUGAAAUGCGUAGAGAUCGGGAGGAACAUCAGUGGCGAAGGCGGCCAUCUGGGACAACACUGACGCUGAGGCACGAAAGCGUGGGGAGCAAACAGGAUUAGAUACCCCCGUAGUCCCUGUCUCUUAUAC